This 489-nucleotide ribosomal RNA is filed under the name uncultured bacterium. RNAcentral's name for it is "partial 16S ribosomal RNA". It matches the Rfam family "Bacterial small subunit ribosomal RNA", at positions 28 to 507 of the family's 1533-position model. The record is from RNAcentral.
GAUGAACGCUCGCUACAGGCUUAACACAUGCAAGUCGAGGGGCAGCAUGAUUGAAGCUUGCUUCAAUCGAUGGCGACCGGCGCACGGGUGAGUAACACGUAUCCAACCUGCCGAUAACUCGGGGAUAGCCUUUCGAAAGAAAGAUUAAUACCCGAUAGUAUAGUAUUUCCGCAUGAUUUCACUAUUAAAGAACUUCGGUUAUCGAUGGGGAUGCGUUCCAUUAGAUAGUUGGCGGGGUAACGGCCCACCAAGUCAACGAUGGAUAGGGGUUCUGAGAGGAAGGUCCCCCACAUUGGAACUGAGACACGGUCCAAACUCCUACGGGAGGCAGCAGUGAGGAAUAUUGGUCAAUGGACGAGAGUCUGAACCAGCCAAGUAGCGUGAAGGAUGACUGCCCUAUGGGUUGUAAACUUCUUUUAUACGGGAAUAAAGUGGAGUAUGCAUACUCCUUUGUAUGUACCGUAUGAAUAAGGAUCGGCUAACUCCGUG